CAGCCGCCGCGGUAAUACGGAGGGGGCUAGCGUUGUUCGGAAUUACUGGGCGUAAAGCGCACGUAGGCGGCUUGGUAAGUUAGAGGUGAAAGCCCGGAGCUCAACUCCGGAAUUGCCUUUAAGACUGCCGAGCUAGUAGGUGAGAGAGGUAAGUGGAAUUCCGAGUGUAGAGGUGAAGUUCGUAGAUAUUCGGAAGAACACCAGUGGCGAAGGCGGCUUACUGGCUCAUUCUAGACGCUGAGGUGCGAAAGCGUGGGGAGCAAACAGGAUUAGAUACCCCCGUAGUCCCUGUCUCUUAUAC
RNAcentral lists this ribosomal RNA (301 nucleotides) under uncultured bacterium. Its description in RNAcentral is "partial 16S ribosomal RNA". It matches the Rfam family "Bacterial small subunit ribosomal RNA", at positions 509 to 807 of the family's 1533-position model. The record is from RNAcentral.